GUGCCCAUAGCUCAGCAGGAUAGAGCGUCGGUUUCCUAAACCGCAGGCCGGAGGUUCGAAUCCUCUUGGGCACGCCA
Molecule: transfer RNA, 77 nt
Filed under: Clostridia bacterium
Lineage: Bacteria; Bacillati; Bacillota; Clostridia
Description: tRNA-Arg
Rfam family: tRNA
About the family: Transfer RNA (tRNA) molecules are approximately 80 nucleotides in length. Their secondary structure includes four short double-helical elements and three loops (D, anti-codon, and T loops). Further hydrogen bonds mediate the characteristic L-shaped molecular structure. tRNAs have two regions of fundamental functional importance: the anti-codon, which is responsible for specific mRNA codon recognition, and the 3' end, to which the tRNAs corresponding amino acid is attached (by aminoacyl-tRNA synthetases). tRNAs cope with the degeneracy of the genetic code in two manners: having more than one tRNA (with a specific anti-codon) for a particular amino acid; and 'wobble' base-pairing, i.e. permitting non-standard base-pairing at the 3rd anti-codon position.
Source: RNAcentral